AACGAACGCUGGCGGCAUGCCUAACACAUGCAAGUCGAACGAGACCUUCGGGUCUAGUGGCGCACGGGUGCGUAACGCGUUGGAACCUGCCCUUAGGUUCGGAAUAACUCCCCGAAAGGGGUGCUAAUACCGGAUAAUGUCUUCGGACCAAAGAUUUAUCGCCUUUGGAUGGGCCCGCGUUGGAUUAGAUAGUUGGUAGGGUAAAAGCCUACCAAGGCGACGAUCCAUAGCUGGUCUGAGAGGAUGAUCAGCCACACUGGGACUGAGACACGGACCAGACUACUACGGGAGGAAGCAGUGGGGAAUAUUGGAAAAUGGGCGAAAGCCUGAUCCAGCAAUGCCGCGUGAGUGAUGAAGGCCUUAGGGUUGUAAAGCUCUUUUACCCGGGAUGAUAAUGACAGUACCGGGAGAAUAAGCUCCGGCUAACUCCGUG
Molecule: ribosomal RNA, 433 nt
Filed under: uncultured bacterium
Lineage: Bacteria
Description: partial 16S ribosomal RNA
Rfam family: Bacterial small subunit ribosomal RNA
Source: RNAcentral